This 361-nucleotide transfer-messenger RNA is filed under the name Candidatus Yanofskybacteria bacterium RIFCSPHIGHO2_01_FULL_41_26. It matches the Rfam family "transfer-messenger RNA". Rfam says of the family: Bacterial tmRNA, also known as 10Sa RNA or SsrA, is named for its dual tRNA and mRNA-like properties. Its role is to liberate the mRNA from a stalled ribosome. To accomplish this part of the tmRNA is used as a reading frame that ends in a translation stop signal. Lineage: Bacteria; Candidatus Yanofskyibacteriota. RNAcentral also lists the same sequence under 2 other names. The record is from RNAcentral.
GGGGGUGAAAGGCUUCGACGAGAUUUAUGAACUGACUGGACGCUUAGAGUGGAUGGCCGUUAACCACUAUAAAACCUCGACCAAAUUAAUAGGUGCAAAAACGCAACCUAAUUACGCUUUCGCCUAAAUUUAUUUAGGUAAGCCAUUCCGCCUUGAUGCCUGCUAGGGGAUUACGGAAUGUUAUAUAGUAGGCUGGACAGCAAUUCAUCUUUUUCCUGUUUUGCUGUUGAGAAUACGGAAAAAUAGCUCGAAGUUAUUUUGUUGGUUUUUUAGCUUCAGGUGAAAUACCAAACCGACUAUCUAAGUAGAAGUUCUUCGGAUCAAAUCUCGGAUGUGGAUUCGACUUCCACCACCUCCACCU